AGGGAAGAAACGGUCUUGGAUAAUACCUGGGGCUAAUGACGGUACNUGAAGAAUAAGCACCGGCUAACUACGUGCCAGCAGCCGCGGUAAUACGUAGGGUGCAAGCGUUAAUCGGAAUUACUGGGCGUAAAGCGUGCGCAGGCGGUUGUGUAAGACAGGUGUGAAAUCCCCGGGCUUAACCUGGGAAUGGCAUUUGUGACUGCACGGCUAGAGUGUGUCAGAGGGGGGUAGAAUUCCACGUGUAGCAGUGAAAUGCGUAGAGAUGUGGAGGAAUACCGAUGGCGAAGGCAGCCCCCUGGGAUAACACUGACGCUCAUGCACGAAAGCGUGGGGAGCAAACAGGAUUAGAUACCCUGGUAGUCCACGCCCUAAACGAUGUCUACUAGUUGUCGGGUCUUAAUUGACUUGGUAACGCAGCUAACGCGUGAAGUAGACCGCCUGGGGAGUACGGUCGCAAGAUUAAAACUCAAAGGAAUUGACGGGGACCCGCACAAGCGGUGGAUGAUGUGGAUUAAUUCGAUGCAACGCGAAAAACCUUACCUACCCUUGACAUGUACGGAACGCCUGAGAGAUCAGGUGGUGCUCGAAAGAGAACCGUAACACAGGUGCUGCAUGGCUGUCGUCAGC
Molecule: ribosomal RNA, 627 nt
Filed under: Herminiimonas sp. WSIGRb
Lineage: Bacteria; Pseudomonadati; Pseudomonadota; Betaproteobacteria; Burkholderiales; Oxalobacteraceae
Description: bacterial SSU rRNA
Rfam family: Bacterial small subunit ribosomal RNA
Source: RNAcentral